GCCUAACACAUGCAAGUCGAACGAUGAACCUCUUCGGAGGGGAUUAGUGGCGAACGGGUGAGUAACACGUGGGCAAUCUGCCCUGCACUCUGGGACAAGCCCUGGAAACGGGGUCUAAUACCGGAUAUGACGUGCGACCGCAUGGUCUGUACGUGGAAAGCUCCGGCGGUGCAGGAUGAGCCCGCGGCCUAUCAGCUUGUUGGUGGGGUGAUGGCCUACCAAGGCGACGACGGGUAGCCGGCCUGAGAGGGCGACCGGCCACACUGGGACUGAGACACGGCCCAGACUCCUACGGGAGGCAGCAGUGGGGAAUAUUGCACAAUGGGCGAAAGCCUGAUGCAGCGACGCCGCGUGAGGGAUGACGGCCUUCGGGUUGUAAACCUCUUUCAGCAGGGAAGAAGCGAAAGUGACGGUACCUGCAGAAGAAGCACCGGC
RNAcentral lists this ribosomal RNA (435 nucleotides) under Streptomyces sp. KU52. RNAcentral describes it as "bacterial SSU rRNA". It matches the Rfam family "Bacterial small subunit ribosomal RNA", at positions 46 to 497 of the family's 1533-position model. The record is from RNAcentral. Lineage: Bacteria; Bacillati; Actinomycetota; Actinomycetes; Kitasatosporales; Streptomycetaceae.